UACGGAGGGUGCAAGCGUUACCCGGAUUCACUGGGUUUAAAGGGUGCGUAGGUGGGCUAGUAAGUCCGUGGUGAAAUCUCCAAGCUUAACUUGGAAACUGCCGUGGAUACUAUUAGUCUUGAAUAUUGUGGAGGUAAGCGGAAUAUGUCAUGUAGCGGUGAAAUGCUUAGAUAUGACAUAGGACACCGAUAGCGAAGGCAGCUUGCUACACAAUCAUUGACACUGAGGCACGAAAGCGUGGGGAUCAAACAGG
This 253-nucleotide ribosomal RNA is filed under the name uncultured bacterium. RNAcentral describes it as "partial 16S ribosomal RNA". It matches the Rfam family "Bacterial small subunit ribosomal RNA", at positions 524 to 776 of the family's 1533-position model. The record is from RNAcentral.